This is a long non-coding RNA of Leucoraja erinaceus (little skate), 2145 nucleotides long. RefSeq lists it as uncharacterized. NCBI's taxonomy places the organism in Eukaryota, Metazoa, Chordata, Chondrichthyes, Rajiformes, Rajidae. The transcript is spliced from 3 exons. The record is from RefSeq and is a predicted model, not a curated record.
GCCCGCCCGCCCCGGAACUGACGCCAGCGCGCGCACAGGCAGGCUGACAGGCCCGGGACAGCCCCGUGCAAAAGGCAAGACGUGACCAUCGGGGCUCCGGUGCAAGUGGGGACGGAAUAAAUGCAGCCCGUGCAAAGUGUGCAGGAUGGUGCUGGUGUACGGGGUGGUCGCUGGUCGGCGCGGACUGGGUGCGCUGUUUCUCUAAAAUCUAAAGAAUUGCUGCUUCACUCGGAAGGACUGUUUGUUUCCUUGGUUCGAUGAAAGCGAAGAAAUGAGAUGGUCUUGGAGGGGAGGAUGCUCCUUAAACUGCGGAGAAUCUUGAACAAUACAGCCUACCCUCUCCAUGACACACUGGUCAACCCGAGGAGCACCUUCAGCAACAGACUGGUAACACCAAGAGUCAGCACAGAACGUCACAGGAGAUCCUUCUUCCCCAUGGCUAUCAAACUGUACAACUCCCCCUUCAGUCGUGGGAUAGACUGACUCCUCCUUCCCCCUCCCCAAUCUUCGCACAUACCCAAUCCUGGACUUUCCACUCGUCACUUUAGUUUCAUGUUUCAUGUAUCUUGUUGUGUCUCAUGACUGUUUGCAGACCAAUUUCCCUCCUGGGAUAAAUAAAGUUCUAUCGCAUCAUAUAGAUAUUCUGUGUCUAUGUAGUCUAGGAGUGAUGAGAAGACAAGUGAAAUACUCACACCCAUGUGAAAUAAAAUGAGGGGAAUUUCCUUUCAUACAUCCCCAGCCUCCACACUUUGGUGAUGGAAACUAAUCCAUCAGGAUACUCCGGCCUUGGGUGGUGCCAGGUAUUAUUUACUUCUUGCAAAGGCGAUCUCAGUUCCAGCCAGAAGCAAAUCCAGAUCUCGCUGGAAAAAAAUCAGCAAAUGAGGGAUCGCAGCAGCAACAAGUGCAAAGAUUGUUCACACCAGUUCUUUUUCUCUGGAAUAAAAGCCAACAAUUAAAUCAGCAAUUCUUCAAGCUCCAGCUUUUACUAUUGAAUUAAUUCAUGAAUUUUCAAAAGCACCAAUGCUACAACUUGCUUCAUGGAUAGACGAUAUUUCAGGUUGGGACCCUUCUUCAGCCUGGUUUCCCAUUCUGAAGAAGGGUCCAGAUUCGACAUGUCACAUAAGGUCAUGAGGAAUAGGAGUAGAAUUAGGCCAUUCUGCCCAUAAAGUCUACUCCGCCAUUCAUUCAUGGCUGAUCUAUCUCUCCCUCCUAACCACAUUCUUUUGCCUUUUCCCCAUAACCUAUGACACCUGUACUGAUCAAGAAUCUAUCUAUUUCUGCCUUAAAAAUACCUACUGACUUGCUCCACAGCCUUCUGUUGCUCAGAAUUCCUCAGAUUCACCACCCUCUGACUAAAUACAUUUCUCAUCUUCCUAAAAGAACAUCCUUUAAUUCUGAGGCUAUGACCUCUAGUCCUAGACUAUCCCACUAGUCAAAACAUCCUUUCCACUUCCACUCUAUCCAACCUAUCCAUGUAUUCCAAAGAUGCUGCCUGACCUGCUGAGCUACUCCAGCACUUUGUGUCUUUUUUUAAAAUUAACCAGCACCUUUGGUCCCUUACGUCUCCUUUAACUUGCUUCACUUGGUUUUGGGUGAUGACCAAUGUCCACGUGCAAAGGGCAAUGACAAGAUCAUUGCAAGUUUCAACGCAGAUGUGGACGGGCAAGAGUCAUGAGAAUUUCACCAUCAUUACCGCAAGACCUCUUAUAUGUGCCAAUGGGACGAGCAUAGUGGCAGUGUGGCCAGUGAGAUGAACCAUCAAGCUCCUAUGGGUGUUUCUGAAGGUCAACAAAGCUUUGCCACUCCAAGAAAAAAAUGCCAAUGGGUGUAAUUUGACUCAUUUUGUUAAAAUUCGGUCAUGAAAUAAUCUCGGCACCAAUGUUUAGACAGGACUAAACAGCAGCAUUUAAAACUUUCAACCUUGAUAAACAGGGAAAGCUUGUAGGUUUUGCCAAGUUGCAACAAGAACGAAGAGAAUACAGUUGAUGGAGCCCCCCUACCCUGACUGUAUCUAUUCACCUUACCUCUGCCCCUCAUUAUCUUAUGUAGUCCUAUAACUUCCCACACUCCAGGGGAAAAGUUCCAGCCUGUCCAGCAUCCUACAUAUAGAAUCAGACGGCAUGGAAACAGGCCCUUUAGCCAAAG